UCACGAAGNACUCCGAUUGCGAAGGCAGCUUGCUGGACUGUAACUGACGCUGAGGCACGAAAGCGUGGGGAUCAAACAGGAUUAGAUNNNNGGUANNCCACGCCGUAAACGAUGAAUGCUAGCUGUUAGCGAUAUACUGUUAGCGGCACAGAGAAAUCGUUAAGCAUUCCACCUGGGGAGUACGCCGGCAACGGUGAAACUCAAAGGAAUUGACGGGGGCCCGCACAAGCGGAGGAACAUGUGGUUUAAUUCGAUGAUACGCGAGGAACCUUACCUGGGCUUAAAUUGCAGUGGAAUAACGUGGAAACAUGUUAGCCUUCGGGCCGCUGUGAAGGUGCUGCAUGGUUGUCGUCAGCUCGUGCCGUGAGGUGUCGGCUUAAGUGCCAUAACGAGCGCAACCCUCAUCGAUAGUUACUAACAGGUUAAGCUGAGGACUCUAUCGAGACUGCCGACGUAAGUCGUGAGGAAGGUGGGGAUGACGUCAAAUCAGCACGGCCCUUACGUCCAGGGCUACACACGUGUUACAAUGGGGGGUACAAAGGGCAGCUACCUGGCGACAGGAUGCUAAUCUCAAAAACCUCUCUCAGUUCGGAUUGGAGUCUGCAACCCGACUCCAUGAAGCUGGAUUCGCUAGUAAUCGCGCAUCAGCCACGGCGCGGUGAAUACGUUCCCGGGCCUUGUACACACCGCCCGUCAAGCCAUGGGAGCCGGGGGGACCUGAAGUAUGCAACCGUAAGGAGCGUCCUAGGGUAAAACUGGUGACUGGGGCU
This 770-nucleotide ribosomal RNA is filed under the name uncultured prokaryote. RNAcentral's name for it is "bacterial SSU rRNA". It matches the Rfam family "Bacterial small subunit ribosomal RNA", at positions 697 to 1482 of the family's 1533-position model. The record is from RNAcentral.